Molecule: ribosomal RNA, 464 nt
Filed under: uncultured bacterium
Lineage: Bacteria
Description: bacterial SSU rRNA
Rfam family: Bacterial small subunit ribosomal RNA
Source: RNAcentral
GGGCCCGCACAAGCGGUGGAGCAUGUGGUUCAAUUCGACGCAACGCGAAGAACCUUACCCAGGCUUGAACAGCGACUGACAUCCGGCGAAAGUCGGCUCCCGCAAGGGCAGUCGUAGAGGUGCUGCAUGGCUGUCGUCAGCUCGUGUCGUGAGAUGUUGGGUUAAGUCCCGCAACGAGCGCAACCCUUGUCCUCUGUUGCCAUCAGGUUAUGCUGGGCACUCUGAGGAGACUGCCGGUGAUAAACCGGAGGAAGGUGGGGAUGACGUCAAGUCAGCAUGGCCUUUAUGUCUGGGGCUACACACGUGCUACAAUGGCCGGUACAAACCGUCGCGAUGCCGUAAGGUGGAGCUAAUCGGAGAAAGCCGGUCUCAGUUCGGAUUGUAGGCUGCAACUCGCCUACAUGAAGUUGGAAUCGCUAGUAAUCGCGGAUCAGCACGCCGCGGUGAAUACGUUCCCGGGCCUU